RNAcentral lists this long non-coding RNA (236 nucleotides) under Helianthus annuus (common sunflower). Its description in RNAcentral is "sRNA HanXRQr2_Chr09g0415291". The record is from RNAcentral. Lineage: Eukaryota; Viridiplantae; Streptophyta; Magnoliopsida; Asterales; Asteraceae.
GUUGUUUAUGCUGUUGGUGGAGUCGGAUCAUUCGGAAUUCAAAUUCAGCAACUUAAACAUACAUUCUUGCAUUUUACCUGUCCAACACUGAACUCAUGGAGCACCGGUACAUAUCUAAUAACUUUGCAUUUAAUAAUUUAGUCAUUCAUAUCAUAUUUUAUAAGUAAUACUUCUAACCAUAUAUUUCAUGAUACAGUAACAUCACCUAUUUGAAGGAUUUGGAUUUGGCUCGCUGU